Molecule: ribosomal RNA, 408 nt
Filed under: uncultured bacterium
Lineage: Bacteria
Description: partial 16S ribosomal RNA
Rfam family: Bacterial small subunit ribosomal RNA
Source: RNAcentral
GACGAACGCUGGCGGCGUGCUUAACACAUGCAAGUCGAACGGAGUGGCGAACGGGUGAGUAACACGUGGGUGAUCUGCCUUGCACUUCGGGAUAAGCUUUGGAAACUGGGUCUAAUACCGGAUAGUGCAAGAUGAGCUCGCGGCCUAUCAGCUUGUUGGUGGGUUAAUGGCCUACCAAGGCGUCGACGGGUAGCCGGCCUGCGAGGGUGUACGGCCACAUUGGGACUGAGGUACGGGCCAGACUGAUACGGGGGGCAGCAAUGGGGAAUAUUGCACAAUGGGCGGAAGCCUGAUGCAGGGACGCCGCGUGGGAGAGGAAGGCCUUCGGGUAGUAACCUCCUUUCGACAGGGACGCGGUACCUGUAUAAGAAGCACCGGCUAACUACGUGCCAGCCGCCGCGGUAAUUC